GGUAGGCCUAACACAUGCAAGUCGAACGGCAGCACAGGAGAGCUUGCUCUCUGGGUGGCGAGUGGCGGACGGGUGAGGAAUACAUCGGAAUCUACUCUGUCGUGGGGGAUAACGUAGGGAAACUUACGCUAAUACCGCAUACGACCUACGGGUGAAAGCAGGGGAUCUUCGGACCUUGCGCGAUUGAAUGAGCCGAUGUCGGAUUAGCUAGUUGGCGGGGUAAAGGCCCACCAAGGCGACGAUCCGUAGCUGGUCUGAGAGGAUGAUCAGCCACACUGGAACUGAGACACGGUCCAGACUCCUACGGGAGGCAGCAGUGGGGAAUAUUGGACAAUGGGCGCAAGCCUGAUCCAGCCAUACCGCGUGGGUGAAGAAGGCCUUCGGGUUGUAAAGCCCUUUUGUUGGGAAAGAAAUCCAGCUGGCUAAUACCCGGUUGGGAUGACGGUACCCAAAGAAUAAGCACCGGCUAACUUCGUGCCAGCAGCCGCGGUAAUACGAAGGGUGCAAGCGUUACUCGGAAUUACUGGGCGUAAAGCGUGCGUAAGUGGUCGUUUAAGUCCGUUGUGGAAGCCCUGGGCUCAACCUGGGAACUGCAUGGAUACUGGGGCGA
This 610-nucleotide ribosomal RNA is filed under the name Stenotrophomonas maltophilia. RNAcentral's name for it is "bacterial SSU rRNA". It matches the Rfam family "Bacterial small subunit ribosomal RNA", at positions 41 to 640 of the family's 1533-position model. Lineage: Bacteria; Pseudomonadati; Pseudomonadota; Gammaproteobacteria; Lysobacterales; Lysobacteraceae. The record is from RNAcentral.